AUUGAACGCUGGCGGUAUGCUUAAGACAUGCAAGUCGAACGGAAUCUUCGGAUUCAGUGGCGGACGGGUGAGUAACACGUGGGAAUCUACUGAGUAGUGGGGGACAGCCCGGCGAAAGCCGGAUUAAUACCGCAUACGCCCUACGGGGGAAAGGCGCAAGCCGCUAUUUAAUGAGCCCGCGUAAGAUUAGCUAGUUGGUGAGGUAAAGGCCCACCAAGGCAACGAUCUUUAGCUGGUCUGAGAGGAUGGCCAGCCACAUCGGGACUGAGACACGGCCCGGACUCCUACGGGAGCAGCAGUCGGGAAUAUUGGACAAUGGGCNCAAGCCUGAUCC
Molecule: ribosomal RNA, 334 nt
Filed under: uncultured bacterium
Lineage: Bacteria
Description: bacterial SSU rRNA
Rfam family: Bacterial small subunit ribosomal RNA
Source: RNAcentral